RNAcentral lists this ribosomal RNA (502 nucleotides) under uncultured bacterium. RNAcentral describes it as "partial 16S ribosomal RNA". It matches the Rfam family "Bacterial small subunit ribosomal RNA", at positions 899 to 1397 of the family's 1533-position model. The record is from RNAcentral.
ACUCAAAUGAAUUGACGGGGACCCGCACAAGCGGUGGAGUAUGUGGUUUAAUUCGAAGCAACGCGCAGAACCUUACCAGCUUUUGACAUGGGAAGUUUGAGGAGUAGAGAUACUUUUCUUCAGUUCGGCUGGCUUCCACACAGGUGCUGCAUGGCUGUCGUCAGCUCGUGUCGUGAGAUGUUGGGUUAAGUCCCGCAACGAGCGCAACCCUUAUUGCUAGUUGCCAUCAGGUUUGGCUGGGCACUUUAGCGAAACUGCCGGUGAUAAGCCGGAGGAAGGUAGGGAUGACGUCAAGUCCUCAUGGCCCUUAUAGGCUGGGCUACACACGUACUACAAUGGCGGUGACAGAAGGCAGCGACGGAGAAAUCCUGAGCGAAUCCUUAAAAGCCGCCUCAGUUCGGAUUGUCCUCUGCAACUCGAGGACAUGAAGUCGGAAUCGCUAGUAAUCGUAGAUCAGCAUGCUACGGUGAAUACGUUCCCGGGUCUUGUACACACCGCCCGU